Molecule: ribosomal RNA, 329 nt
Filed under: uncultured eukaryote
Lineage: Eukaryota
Description: partial 18S ribosomal RNA
Rfam family: Eukaryotic small subunit ribosomal RNA
Source: RNAcentral
CCCUUAGAUGUUCUGGGCCGCACGCGCGCUACAAUGAUGCAUUCAACGAGUUUAUAACCUUGGUUGAAAAGCCUGGGUAAUCUUUUGAACUUUCGUCGUGAUGGGGCUAGACCCUUGCAAUUAUUGGUCUCCAACGAGGAAUUCCUAGUAAACGCAAGUCAUCAGCUUGCGUUGAUUACGUCCCUGCCCUUUGUACACACCGCCCGUCGCUCCUACCGAUUGAAUGGUCCGGUGAAGCGCUCGGACCGCGGCCUCUUGACGGUUUUCCGUCGAUUGGCUGUGGGAAGUUCGUUAAACCUUAUCAUUUAGAGGAAGGAGAAGUCGUAACA